UACAGAGGUCCCAAGCGUUGUUCGGAAUUACUGGGCGUAAAGGGCUCGUAGGCGGCCAACUAAGUCGGAUGUGAAAUCCCCAGGCUCAACUUGGGAACUGCAUCCGAUACUGGAUGGCUUGAAUUCGGGAGAGGGAUGCAGAAUUCCAGGUGUAGCGGUGAAAUGCGUAGAUAUCUGGAGGAAUACCGGUGGCGAAGGCGGCGACCUGGGUCGAGACUGACGCUGAGGCGCGAAAGCGUGGGGAGCAAACAGG
RNAcentral lists this ribosomal RNA (253 nucleotides) under uncultured bacterium. Its description in RNAcentral is "partial 16S ribosomal RNA". It matches the Rfam family "Bacterial small subunit ribosomal RNA", at positions 524 to 776 of the family's 1533-position model. The record is from RNAcentral.